Rattus norvegicus (Norway rat) is the source of this 63-nucleotide non-coding RNA. The record is from Rfam. NCBI's taxonomy places the organism in Eukaryota, Metazoa, Chordata, Mammalia, Rodentia, Muridae.
GGGGAUUUGGCUCAGUGGCAGAGCGCUUGCCUAGGAAGCGCAAGGCCCUGGGUUCAGUCCCCA